RNAcentral lists this ribosomal RNA (1054 nucleotides) under uncultured beta proteobacterium. RNAcentral describes it as "bacterial SSU rRNA". It matches the Rfam family "Bacterial small subunit ribosomal RNA", at positions 154 to 1204 of the family's 1533-position model. Lineage: Bacteria; Pseudomonadati; Pseudomonadota; Betaproteobacteria. The record is from RNAcentral.
AAAGGUGUGCUAAUACCGCAUAACCUCUCAGGAGAAAAGCAGGGGAUCGCAAGACCUUGCGCUUUAGGAGCGGCCGAUGCCUGAUUAGCUUGUUGGUAAGGUAAAAGCUUACCAAGGCUUCUAUCAGUAGCUGGUCUGAGAGGACGACCAGCCACACUGGGACUGAGAUACGGCCCAGACUCCUACGGGAGGCAGCAGUGGGGAAUUUUGGACAAUGGGGGAAACCCUGAUCCAGCCAUGCCGCGUGAGUGAAGAAGGCCUUCGGGUUGUAAAGCUCUUUCAGCCGGAACGAAACGGUUACGAUUAAUACUUGUAAUUAAUGGCGGUGCCGGCAGAAGAAGCACCGGCUAACUACGUGCCAGCAGCCGCGGUAAUACGUAGGGUGCGAGCGUUAAUCGGAAUUACUGGGCGUAAAGGGUGCGCAGGUGGUUUUGUAAGUCAGAUGUGAAAUCCCCGGGCUUAACCUGGGAACUGCGUUUGAAACUACAAGGCUAGAGUAUGGCAGAGGGGGGUGGAAUUCCGCGUGUAGCAGUGAAAUGCGUAGAUAUGUGGAGGAACACCGAUGGCGAAGGCAGCCCCCUGGGUCAAUACUGACGCUGAGGCACGAAAGCAUGGGGAGCAAACAGGAUUAGAUACCCUGGUAGUCCAUGCCCUAAACGAUGUCAACUAGUUGUCGGGCCUUUACGGGCUUGGUAACGUAGCUAACGCGUGAAGUUGACCGCCUGGGGAGUACGAUCGCAAGAUUAAAACUCAAAUGAAUUGACGGGGACCCGCACAAGCGGUGGAUUAUGUGGAUUAAUUCGAUGCAACGCGAAAAACCUUACCUACCCUUGACAUGUAUCGAAGCCCGCAGAAAAGCGGAGGUGCCCGAAAGGGAACGAUAACACAGGUGCUGCAUGGCUGUCGUCAGCUCGUGUCGUGAGAUGUUGGGUUAAGUCCCGCAACGAGCGCAACCCUUGUCAUUAAUUGCCAUCAUUUAGUUGGGCACUUUAAUGAGACUGCCGGUGACAAACCGGAGGAAGGUGGGGAUGACGUCAAGUCCUCAUGGCCCUUA